CAAUUCCACCCAUUGUACCUUAAAUUACAAACUACAGAGUCUGUUCGUUUUUUGCUUAAAUUUACAAACUACGGUGUUCGUUUUUUGUAUCACUUCUUUGUUCGAAUUGUUGUCAUCGACGUUGGGUGAACAACAGAAGAUUUCAUUCAUAGCUACUUUACAAAAUAUUUAAAUUUAAGCUUUUCAGCGUCGGCUUCGGCUGAAAUAAAGAACAAUCUUGAUGGUUUAAAGACGGCACGUCCAGAAACUUUGUUUUAUCUUUUAGACUGUCGCGUGAUUACCGUCAAGUUUAUUCUUU
Non-coding RNA from Paramuricea clavata, 298 nucleotides. NCBI's taxonomy places the organism in Eukaryota, Metazoa, Cnidaria, Anthozoa, Malacalcyonacea, Plexauridae. The record is from the annotation of a GenBank genome assembly.